AGUCGUACAGGUCUCCGUAGGUGAACCUGCGGAGGGAUCAUUACACAAAUAUGAAGGCGGGCUGGAACCUCUCGGGGUUACAGCCUUGCUGAAUUAUUCACCCUUGUCUUUUGCGUACUUCUUGUUUCCUUGGUGGGUUCGCCCACCACUAGGACAAACAUAAACCUUUUGUAAUUGCAAUCAGCGUCAGUAACAAAUUAAUAAUUACAACAUUCAACAACGGAUCUCUUGGUUCUGGCAUCGAUGAAGAACGCAGCGAAAUGCGGUAAGUAGUGUGAAUUGCAGAAUUCAGUGAAUCAUCGAAUCUUUGAACGCACAUUGCGCCCUUUGGUAUUCCAAAGGGCAUGCCUGUUCGAGCGUCAUUUGUACCCUCAAGCUUUGCUUGGUGUUGGGCGUCUUGUCUCUAGCUUUGCUGGAGACUCGCCUUAAAGUAAUUGGCAGCCGGCCUACUGGUUUCGGAGCGCAGCACAAGUCGCACUCUCUAUCAGCAAAGGUCUAGCAUCCAUUAAGCCUUUUUUUCAACUUUUGACCUCGGAUCAGGUAGGGAUACCCGCUGAACUUAAGCAUAUC
RNAcentral lists this ribosomal RNA (570 nucleotides) under uncultured fungus. Its description in RNAcentral is "eukaryotic LSU rRNA". The stretch from base 209 to 362 matches the Rfam family "5.8S ribosomal RNA". Lineage: Eukaryota; Fungi. The record is from RNAcentral.